GAUGAACGCUGGCGGCGUGCCUAAUACAUGCAAGUCGAGCGAAUGGAUUAAGAGCUUGCUCUUAUGAAGUUAGCGGCGGACGGGUGAGUGACACGUGGGUAACCUGCCCAUAAGACUGGGAUAACUCCGGGAACCCGGGGCUAAUACCGGAUAAUAUUUUGAACUCAAUGGUUCCAAAUGGAAAGGCGUCUUCGGCUGUCACUUAUGGAUGGACCCGGGUCGCAUUAGCUAGUUGGUGAGGUAACGGCUCACCAAGGCAACGAUGCGUAGCCGACCUGAGAGGGUGAUCGGCCACACUGGGACUGAGACACGGCCCAGACUCCUACGGGAGGCAGCAGUAGGGAAUCUUCCGCAAUGGACGAAAGUCUGACGGAGCAACGCCGCGUGAGUGAUGAAGGCUUUCGGGUCGUAAAACUCUGUUGUUAGGGAAGAACAAGUGCUAGUUGAAUAAGCUGGCACCUUGACGGUACCUAACCAGAAAGCCACGGCUAACUACGUGCCAGCAGCCGCGGUAA
This 515-nucleotide ribosomal RNA is filed under the name uncultured bacterium. RNAcentral's name for it is "partial 16S ribosomal RNA". It matches the Rfam family "Bacterial small subunit ribosomal RNA", at positions 28 to 523 of the family's 1533-position model. The record is from RNAcentral.